GGUUCGAUCAUGGCUCAGAUUGAACGCUGGCGAUGCUUUACACAUGCAAGUCGAACGGCAGCACGGACUUCUCGGUCUGGUGGCGAGUGGCGAACGGGUGAGUAAUGUAUCGGAACGUGCCUAGAAGCGGGGAGUUGGACCACAGCGAAAGCGUAGCUAAUACCGCAUACUGCCCUUCGGGGAAAGCGGGGGAUCUGGCCUGCAAUUCAUUAGAGCGGCCGAUAUCGGAUUAGCUAGUUGUGUACCUUGGUCACCAAGGCGACGAUCCGUAGCUGGUUUGAGAGGACGCAUCAGCCACACUGGGACUGAGACACGGCCUAGACUCACGGGAGGCAGCAGUGGGGAAUUUUGACAAUGGGGGAAACUCUGAUCUCACGAUUCCGCGUGUGCGAUGAAGGCCUUCGGGUUGUAAAGCACUUUUGGCAGGAAAGAACGGCACGGAUAAUACCCGUGCAACUGACGGUACCUGCAGAAUAAGCACCGGCUAAAUUACGUGCCAGCAGCCGCGGUAAUACGUAGGGUGCAAGCGUUAAUCGGAAUUACUGGGCGUAAAGCGUGCAGGCGGUUCGGAAAGAAAGAUGUGAAAUCCCAGAGCUUAACUUUGGAACUGCAUUUUUGAAUCACCGAGCUAGAGCGUGUCAGAGGGAGUGGAAUCUCGUGUGUAGCAGUGAAAUGCGUAGAUAUGGCGGAGGAAUUGAAGGCCAUGAAGGCAGCCUCCUGGGAUAACACUGACGCUCAUGCACGAAAGCGUGGGGAGCAAACAGGAUUAGAUACCCCGGUAGUCCACGCCCUAAACGAUGUCAACUAGCUGUUGGGGCCUCGCCCGUAGCGCAGCUAAUUCAGUGAAGUUGACUGCCCGUCAGAGUACGGUCGCAAGAUUAAAAGAAACUCAAAGGAAUUGACGGGGACUCCGGCCAAGCGGUGGAUGAUGUGGAUUAAUUCGAUGCAACGCGAAAAACCUUACCUACUCCUUGACAUGUCUGGAAUCCCGAAGAGAUUUGGGAGGUUUCGCAAGAGAACCGGAAAUACAGGUGCUGUAUUGUCGUCAGCUCGUGUCGAGUUGGGUUAAGUCCCGCAACGAGCGCAACCCUUGUCAUUAGUUGCUACGAAAGGGCACUCUAAUGAGACUGCCGGUGACAAACCGGAGGAAGGUGUAGGAUGAGUCAAGCCUCAUGGCCCUUGCGGUAAAUACACGUCAUACAAUGGUCGGGACAGAGGUCGCUAACCCGCGAGGGGGAGCUACAAUCCCAGAAACCCGAUCGUAGUCCGGAUCGGUAGUCUGCAACUCGACUGCGUGAAGUCGGAAUCGCUAGUAAUCGCGGAUCAGCAUGUCGCGGCGAAUACGUUCCCGGGUCUUGUACACACCGCCUCGUCACACCAUGGGAGUGGGUUUUACCAGAAGUAGUUAGGCCUAACCGUAAGGAGGGCGAUUACCACGGUAGGAUUCAUGAUUGGUGAAGUCGUAACAAAGGUA
RNAcentral lists this ribosomal RNA (1474 nucleotides) under uncultured Bordetella sp. Its description in RNAcentral is "partial 16S-23S ribosomal RNA intergenic spacer". It matches the Rfam family "Bacterial small subunit ribosomal RNA". The record is from RNAcentral. Lineage: Bacteria; Pseudomonadati; Pseudomonadota; Betaproteobacteria; Burkholderiales; Alcaligenaceae.